RNAcentral lists this ribosomal RNA (883 nucleotides) under uncultured Candidatus Saccharibacteria bacterium. Its description in RNAcentral is "bacterial SSU rRNA". It matches the Rfam family "Bacterial small subunit ribosomal RNA", at positions 571 to 1482 of the family's 1533-position model. Lineage: Bacteria; Candidatus Saccharimonadota. The record is from RNAcentral.
GUAGGCGGUUAGUAAAGCGAAUAGUGAAACCUGGUGGCUCAACCAUACAGACUAUUAUUCGAACUCACUAACUCGAGAAUGGUAGAGGUAACUGGAAUUUCUAGUGUAGGAGUGAAAUCCGUAGAUAUUAGAAGGAACACCAAUGGCGUAGGCAGGUUACUGGACCAUUUCUGACGCUAAGGCACGAAAGCGUGGGGAGCGAACCGGAUUAGAUACCCGGGUAGUCCACGCCGUAAACGAUGGAUACUAGCUGUUGGAGGUAUCGACCCCUUCAGUAGCGAAGCUAACGCGUUAAGUAUCCCGCCUGUGGAGUACGGCCGCAAGGCUAAAACAUAAAGGAAUUGACGGGGACCCGCACAAGCGGUGGAUUAUGUUCUUUAAUUCGAUGAUAACCGAAGAACCUUACCAGGGUUUGAAAUCCCGAGAAUUAAUCCGAAAGGAUUGAGUGCUUUAUUGAACUCGGUGACAGAUGUUGCAUGGCCGUCGUCAGCUCGUGUCGUGAGAUGUUUGGUUAAGUCCAUCAACGAGCGCAACCCUUGUCAGUAGUUGUAUUUUUCUACUGAAACUGCCCCGGCAACGGGGAGGAAGGAGGGGAUGAUGUCAGGUCAGUAUUACUCUUACAUCCUGGGCUAGAAACGUAAUACAAUGGCUGGUACAAUGCGUCGCGAAGCCGCGAGGUGAAGCAAAUCGCAUCAAAGCCAGUCCCAGUUCGGAUUGGAGGCUGAAACUCGCCUCCAUGAAGUCGGAAUCGCUAGUAAUCGCAGAUCAGCAAGCUGCGGUGAAUACGUUCCCGGGUCUUGUACACACCGCCCGUCAAACCAUGAAAGUGACCAACACCCGAAGUCCGAUUCGUCGGCCUAAGGUGGGGGGCAUGAUUGGGGUU